GAUGAACGCUGGCGGCGUGCCUAAUACAUGCAAGUCGAGCGAACAGACGAGGAGCUUGCUCCUCUGACGUUAGCGGCGGACGGGUGAGUAACACGUGGAUAACCUACCUAUAAGACUGGGAUAACUUCGGGAAACCGGAGCUAAUACCGGAUAAUAUAUUGAACCGCAUGGUUCAAUAGUGAAAGACGGUUUUGCUGUCACUUAUAGAUGGAUCCGCGCCGCAUUAGCUAGUUGGUAAGGUAACGGCUUACCAAAGUAACGAUGCGUAGCCGACCUGAGAGGGUGAUCGGCCACACUGGAACUGAGACACGGUCCAGACUCCUACGGGAGGCAGCAGUAGGGAAUCUUCCGCAAUGGGCGAAAGCCUGACGGAGCAACGCCGCGUGAGUGAUGAAGGUCUUCGGAUCGUAAAACUCUGUUAUUAGGGAAGAACAAAUGUGUAAGUAACGAUGCACGUCUUGACGGUACCUAAUCAGAAAGCCACGGCUAACUACGU
This 496-nucleotide ribosomal RNA is filed under the name uncultured bacterium. RNAcentral's name for it is "partial 16S ribosomal RNA". It matches the Rfam family "Bacterial small subunit ribosomal RNA", at positions 28 to 506 of the family's 1533-position model. The record is from RNAcentral.